UACGGAGGGUGCGAGCGUUACCCGGAUUUACUGGGUGUAGAGGGCGUGUAGGCGGCUAUCUAAGCCCGAUGCUAAAGACUGAGGCUCAACCUCAGGAAUGCGUUGGAUACUGGGUAGCUAGACGGUCGGAGAGGGUAGCGGAAUUUCCUGAGUAGCGGUGAAAUGCGCAGAUACAGGAAGGAACGCCAAUAGCGAAAGCAGCUACCUGGACGAUUUGUGACGCUGAGGCGCGAAAGCGUGGGGAGCAAACCGG
This 253-nucleotide ribosomal RNA is filed under the name uncultured bacterium. RNAcentral's name for it is "partial 16S ribosomal RNA". It matches the Rfam family "Bacterial small subunit ribosomal RNA", at positions 524 to 776 of the family's 1533-position model. The record is from RNAcentral.